CAGUAGCCACGGUAAUACGGAGGGGGCUAGCGUUGUUCGGAAUUACUGGGCGUAAAGCGCACGUAGGCGGCUUGGUAAGUUAGAGGUGAAAGCCUGGAGCUCAACUCCAGAAUUGCCUUUAAGACUGCCGAGCUAGCAGGUGAGAGAGGUAAGUGGGAUUCCGAGUGUAGAGGUGAAAUUCGUAGAUAUUCGGAAGAACACCAGUGGCGAAGGCGGCUUACUGGCUCAUACUGGACGCUGAGGUGCGAAAGCGUGGGGAGCAAACAGGAUUAGAUACCCCUGUAGUCCCUGUCUCUUAUAU
Molecule: ribosomal RNA, 301 nt
Filed under: uncultured bacterium
Lineage: Bacteria
Description: partial 16S ribosomal RNA
Rfam family: Bacterial small subunit ribosomal RNA
Source: RNAcentral